UAGCAGUAGGGAAUCUUCGGCAAUGGGCGAAAGCCUGACCGAGCAUCGCCGCGUGAAUGAUGAAGGCCUUCGGGUUGCAAAAUUCUGUUAUAAGGGAAGAACGACUUUAGUAGGAAAUGGCUAGAGUGUGACGGUACCUUAUGAGAAAGCCACGGCUAACUACGUGCCAGCAGCCGCGGUAAUACGUAGGUGGCGAGCAUUAUCCGGAAUUAUUGGGCGUAAAGAGCGCGCAGGUGGUUGAUUAAGUCUGAUGUGAAAGCCCACGGCUUAACCGUGGAGGGUCAUUGGAAACUGGUCGACUUGAGUGCAGAAGAGGGAAGUGGAAUUCCAUGUGUAGCGGUGAAAUGCGUAGAGAUAUGGAGGAACACCAGUGGCGAAGGCGGCUUCCUGGUCUGUAACUGACACUGAGGCGCGAAAGCGUGGGGAGCAAACAGGAUUAGAUACCCUGGUAGUCCACGCCGUAAACGAUGAGUGCUAAGUGUUGGGGGUCGAACCUCAGUGCCGAAGUUAACGCAUUAAGCACUCCGCCUGGGGAGUACGGUCGCAAGACUGAAACUCAAAGGAAUUGACGG
RNAcentral lists this ribosomal RNA (572 nucleotides) under uncultured bacterium. RNAcentral describes it as "bacterial SSU rRNA". It matches the Rfam family "Bacterial small subunit ribosomal RNA", at positions 349 to 916 of the family's 1533-position model. The record is from RNAcentral.